ACCUUUAGCUUCCAAACAUACGGACUGGAGUAAAUCCAGUUCCAAUUCCGAAUACCCUAGGCUGCUCCUGCGAGCAACUAUGGAGGACAAGCGCUGCAAGUUCUGGCUCCCCAGAAAGAACCGAUUCUGUGCCAAUGCUCCCCUCAACGAUUCCCCCUUCUGUGGAAACCACAAGCCGAGGUCCGAUGGCCAGUGGAUCCCUUGCCCAAUCGACCCUUCGCACUCUGUUCUUCAAGAAAAUAUCGAUGGACAUGUUAGGAGAUGCCCUUUAUUGAAACAAGCCCAAUCCUUGUCCCUUCAGCCAUAUUACCAGAGGGGCAUUAAUGCUGGCAAAGAAGAAGACGAUGACAUUACAUCGGAAAUGAAGAGGAGUGCCGUUUAUAGCAUGACUGUGUCUGAAUUUUAUAAGUUAAUAAAGAAGAUUGAGUCAAUUCAUGCUUCGAUAUGUGAUAAUAUUUUGGAAUCGUAUAAGAUCCCCGAAGCUUGUAACAUGUGGAUUAAGAGAGAAGUAGACAGGAAAUUACCAUUUCAAGAGAAACAUGUCAAGCAACAAGCUUCAAUUAUUGGAAACUUGGAGGAUUUUGGGGUGAUCAAGAGUUCUCUUAUAAAAGAACAAUGUGAUGAUGACGGUCUAUGUGUUGACAAAAUUGAUUCUCGCCCUGCAGUGGUUGAAUUUGGAGCAGGGAGAGGAUACUUGACGCAGAUGCUAGCAGAUUGUUACGGGAUUGAAAGGGUCUUUUUGGUUGAACGAAAAUCAUACAAACUCAAGGUUAGUUGGGCUUAUUCCAUGUUGCAUUGUUUAUGUAAAGGUUAUGUUGCUUCUUGCUUAUAGUUCCAUUGAAUCAAAAUUGGGGAUUUUAGUUUGUUGGACGUUGAUGGAUGUGCAAUUUGUACAUUGUGUAUUUGAUGCAAUUGUUACUCCUAGGCAGAUAGAUCGUUGCGACAGAAAGAGAGUUUGAUAUUAGAGCGAUUGAGAAUUGAUAGUAAGGUUUCUCAUCUUCCUGUUAGUUGAAAUGAUCUUUGCAAUUAUUUUAUCUUUAGUUCUUUCUUUUUUCCCCAGUUCUUCUCUAUAUUUUAACUUUAACUUUAGAUCAAGAACUCAAGAAGGAUUAUUUAUGCUCUUUUUUUUUUUUCUCUGGAGCAUUCAAUUUAGGUGUUAUAUUGUAAAAAAGAGCAUUGGGAAAACCUUUUUUUUUUCCCUCCGCUACCUUGUUAGUUACAAGAUUUUGCUUUUUUAUUUGCAGUAGAGGAUUUAAACUUAAAAGCUGUCGACUCCCUGCAGGGAGUCCCUUAUCUGGCUAUUGGCAAACAUCUCUGUGGGCCGGCAACUGGUGAGCAAUAUGCUUGUGAAAUAACUUUCCCCUAAUCUUGAGAGGGAUUCAAAUAACUUUGCAAUUUAUUUAAUCAUUUAUCUCUUGUGUGACAGAUCAUACACUGAAUAAUUUUCCUUUUCUUUUAUUCGCCCUUUUGAAAUACAUUUAUGUAGAUUUGACGCUAAGAUGUUGCCUGUCUGAACAAGACAGUGAACAUAAUAUGGAACAGUGCCUUGGCAAUUAUUCCCUUAAGGGCCUUGCUAUAGCGACUUGCUGCCAUCAUCUUUGCCAGUGGAAGCAUUAUGCAAGUAAUCACUAUAUUGUACAAGCGAAUGCUUGUGUAUUUUAUACAUUUGUUUUUGAGCUGGCCAUGUAACUUUUAGCUUCUUGCAGAUAAAAAAUUCAUAGUCGAUUUAGGGAUCACAAAGGAAGAAUUCCAUGCAAUAACGUGGUUUACUAGCUGGGCAGUAGAUGCUGACCAUGGAUCAGAUCUCUCUGUUGACGGCAGAUUACAUCUUCAAUCUAUGUAAUGUUGCUGAAAUUUUUAUAUUGAAAUCUAUGCACAAUUAUGUUUCUAAAGACCCAUUAUUAUAAUUAAUAUUAUACUUUUCAUUCUGCAUAUUCACAUUUCAUGUAAUGACAGGGAACAGGAACAGUAUGUAGGGGAUGCAAAUGGGAUUGAAGACGCUGUGAGAAACAUGAAAGCUGUUGACAGGGCUGUGUUGGGUUUUAUGUGUAAGCAGAUCAUUGAUUUGGGAAGGAUGAUGUGGGCAAGGGAACGGGGACUAGACACACAGCUUGUUAAGUAUGUCCCAUCAAGCAUCUCUCCUGAAAACCAUUUAUUGAUUGCUAAGCAUGCCAAGUGCUCAUGAAAGCACUGGAUUUGACAUUAACAUUUUGCUAAACCUUGUUCCUCUACUAAGUAACCAGACAAUAGGUUAACACUGAGUAUCAUCUAGUCUCUCCUUCGAAGAUAGCAAGCAUGUUCCAAGCCUAUCACCCAUCAUGGUUGUCCCCCUCGCCUCACUGGUUGAUUUGCAAAUGAGUAUUGACACAGUUUAGCUGCGGGAACAAGAAUUUGAUCAGUUUGUAUGAGGGCUGCAUUUCCCCUUGUUAUCUUCAUGUGGAAUGCAAAUAUAUUGAGUAGUAGACAAAUGUUCUUUGCUUAUUUUGUGGAUCAAUUGCCUUUAUUGUCUCAAUAUUAUUGUCUGAAAAGUACCUGACUAAUUUACUAUGCCUGAGAAUUUGUUUAAUGACAUUGCUUUGCUUUUAGAAGUUGUGAUGUAGAGGAUCGAUAAUGUGAUAUUAUUUCCUAGUUGAAGUAUGACAAUUGGUGGUACUUGGGAACCAGGUUGUUUAGAAAAAAAAAAUAUAUUUUUUUAUUCUGUCAAUGUUGACUGUGAGAUUAAUUUGAUACUUGGGAACCAAGUUGUUUGUAAAACUUAUUUGUUGAUUGUAAGAAUGCUGACUUUGAAUUUAAUUUAAAAA
This 2801-nucleotide unclassified non-coding RNA is filed under the name Hevea brasiliensis (rubber tree). The record is from RNAcentral. Lineage: Eukaryota; Viridiplantae; Streptophyta; Magnoliopsida; Malpighiales; Euphorbiaceae.